AGAGGUCUCAAGCGUUGUUCGGAAUCACUGGGCGUAAAGCGUGCGUAGGCUGUUUCGUAAGUCGUGUGUGAAAGGCAGGGGCUCAACCCCUGGAUUGCACAUGAUACUGCGAGACUAGAGUAAUGGAGGGGGAACCGGAAUUCUCGGUGUAGCAGUGAAAUGCGUAGAUAUCGAGAGGAACACUCGUGGCGAAGGCGGGUUCCUGGACAUUAACUGACGCUGAGGCACGAAGGCCAGGGGAGCGAAAGGGAUUAGAUACCCCUGUAGUCCUGGCAGUAAACGGUGCACGCUUGGUGUGCGGGGAAUCGACCCCCUGCGUGCCGGAGCUAACGCGUUAAGCGUGCCGCCUGGGGAGUACGGUCGCAAGAUUAAAACUCAA
This 379-nucleotide ribosomal RNA is filed under the name uncultured bacterium. RNAcentral's name for it is "bacterial SSU rRNA". It matches the Rfam family "Bacterial small subunit ribosomal RNA", at positions 527 to 904 of the family's 1533-position model. The record is from RNAcentral.